Molecule: ribosomal RNA, 240 nt
Filed under: uncultured Staphylococcus sp.
Lineage: Bacteria; Bacillati; Bacillota; Bacilli; Caryophanales; Staphylococcaceae
Description: partial 16S ribosomal RNA
Rfam family: Bacterial small subunit ribosomal RNA
Source: RNAcentral
CGGACGGGUGAGUAACACGUGGAUAACCUACCUAUAAGACUGGGAUAACUUCGGGAAACCGAGCUAAUACCGGAUAAUAUAUUGAACCGCAUGGUUCAAUAGUGAAAGACGGUUUUGCUGUCACUUAUAGAUGGAUCCGCGCCGCAUUAGCUAGUUGGUAAGGUAACGGCUUACCGAGGCAACGAUGCGUAGCCGACCUGAGAGGGUGAUCGGCCACACUGGAACUGAGACACGGUCCAG